Molecule: long non-coding RNA, 623 nt
Filed under: Cyanistes caeruleus (blue tit)
Lineage: Eukaryota; Metazoa; Chordata; Aves; Passeriformes; Paridae
Description: lncRNA (ENSCCEG00000002944.1)
Source: RNAcentral
CUGCUCGGGGCUGGAGACAGGGCUGCUGCUCCUGAAGCCUCAGAGCUGCUCCUUCCCCUUGGCAAUCACUGCCUGCACAGUCCUGUGGUGUGGGCUGGGGCCGGCUGGGGAUAAACAGGGCGAUGUCAAGCUGGGGUGAGCUUUCCAGUCAGGUUGUGUCAGUACACAUUGCUCAAGAGGUGAAGAUGCUCAUGGUGUCUUCCCUGUCCAUUCCCUGGGCCAUUCAUUCAUUUAUUUGUGCUAGUUUUACAGGAAAUAUCCCUCCAUCUUUAACUGCAUCUUAGGUUCUUUGUCUGGCGAGCCAUAGAAAAGGCAAAAUGAGGUUCUAUAAGAAGACAUCUGUUUGUAAUGCAUGCUUUUCUUCCCUUACCUUCUUCUCCAAGACUGGAUCAAGAUUUUCCUCAUGUGAAUCCCAGGAGUAUCUGCAAAGUCCACAGCUUAUGAAAAAGUUGUCCUGGGAAAGAUAUCUCCCUCCCCUCCUCCUCCUCCACCCUGCAGCAGGACCCAUUGUCUGCCGGCGGCAAGGCAUAAAGGAGUUAACGAAGGAGCCGGCGAGGAGAGUCAGAAUUCAACAAAGCAAGAAGAAACAGGCUGAAGAGCAACUACCUAAAUACAUGCAAUAA